UACGUAAGCGCGUUGUAAACAUCAGCUGUAUUUUGAAUUUGUAACCUUCAGUUCUCCCUGAGAAUUAGACCGACGCGGUCGAUGCGCCGGAUCGCAAUGAACGGAGUGAAUUUGCUGUAUUCUUUUCGGUGCCCGGAAAAGUUUUCGGAUAUCCAGAGGAGGGGCGAAGAUUCGUAUUCGGCGUCUCACUCGCGGUGGACCACGUGAUACGGAGCAGCCGCGCGAUCAGCCGAUUCAAAAGGACCUCAAUGAGUACGAAAAGGAGAGAGAGGAGGACGAGGAGCCGGAGGAAAAGCCUGAGAAGUGGAUGGAAGGGCGCGAGGAUUUAAGGAGUGGGAAAAGAGAGAUUCGCGGAGCCUCCUCUUCACGGAUUCGAGAGAAGGAACGAAUCUUUGAAAAUAAGUCUUCGAAUGAGACGCAUCGAAAAUGGCGGAUCGAAAUACAUCUUGGCAAUUACCAUGGGGCGGCCGGACGUCGAGGUAGC
This 484-nucleotide unclassified non-coding RNA is filed under the name Athalia rosae (coleseed sawfly). Its description in RNAcentral is "misc RNA ENSAEAG00005011263.1". The record is from RNAcentral. Lineage: Eukaryota; Metazoa; Arthropoda; Insecta; Hymenoptera; Athaliidae.